This 147-nucleotide non-coding RNA is filed under the name Homo sapiens (human). The record is from Rfam by way of RNAcentral. Lineage: Eukaryota; Metazoa; Chordata; Mammalia; Primates; Hominidae.
GCCAGGUGAGGUGGCGCACACCUGUAGUCCACCUACUUGGGAGGCAGAGGUGGGGGGAUCGCUUGAGCCCAGGAGGUCGAGGCUGCAGUGAACCGAGAUCACGCCACUGCAUUGCAGCCUGGGUGAAAAAGUAAGACCCUAUCUCUC